CUGGCUGUAAACAUUGGGCACUGGGUAGUGGAACCGCCGAUGGUUUCACUGCCGCAGGGAAACCGUGAAGUGCCCCGCCUGGGGAGUAUGGUCGCAAGGCUGAAACUCAAAGGAAUUGACGGGGGCUCACACAAGCAGUGGAGUAUGUGGCUUAAUUCGAGGCUACGCGAAAAACCUUACCUAGGCUUGACAUGCAGGAAUUAGCCGGCGGAAACGUCGGUGACGCCGCAAGGUGGAAUCUGCACAGGUGC
RNAcentral lists this ribosomal RNA (251 nucleotides) under uncultured Planctomycetaceae bacterium. RNAcentral describes it as "partial 16S ribosomal RNA". It matches the Rfam family "Bacterial small subunit ribosomal RNA", at positions 796 to 1041 of the family's 1533-position model. Lineage: Bacteria; Pseudomonadati; Planctomycetota; Planctomycetia; Planctomycetales; Planctomycetaceae. The record is from RNAcentral.